GACGAACGCUGGCGGCGUGCUUAACACAUGCAAGUCGAACGGAAAGGCCCUGCUUUUGUGGGGUGCUCGAGUGGCGAACGGGUGAGUAACACGUGAGUAACCUGCCCUUGACUUUGGGAUAACUUCAGGAAACUGGGGCUAAUACCGGAUAGGAGCUCCUGCUGCAUGGUGGGGGUUGGAAAGUUUCGGCGGUUGGGGAUGGACUCGCGGCUUAUCAGCUUGUUGGUGGGGUAGUGGCUUACCAAGGCUUUGACGGGUAGCCGGCCUGAGAGGGUGACCGGCCACAUUGGGACUGAGAUACGGCCCAGACUCCUACGGGAGGCAGCAGUGGGGAAUAUUGCACAAUGGGCGGAAGCCUGAUGCAGCAACGCCGCGUGCGGGAUGACGGCCUUCGGGUUGUAAACCACUUUCGCCUGUGACGAAGCGUGAGUGACGGUAAUGAGUAAAGAAGCAACGGCUAACUACGUG
This 468-nucleotide ribosomal RNA is filed under the name uncultured bacterium. RNAcentral's name for it is "partial 16S ribosomal RNA". It matches the Rfam family "Bacterial small subunit ribosomal RNA", at positions 28 to 507 of the family's 1533-position model. The record is from RNAcentral.